This 221-nucleotide unclassified non-coding RNA is filed under the name Hevea brasiliensis (rubber tree). Lineage: Eukaryota; Viridiplantae; Streptophyta; Magnoliopsida; Malpighiales; Euphorbiaceae. The record is from RNAcentral.
GAACGUGGAGCUCGCUUAGUUGGAGCUGGCAUCGUAGGGAUUGUAAAGAAACUAGACAGACUUUCUAAUAGGAUUAGCAUUAUUACUGUAGAAGGUGGUGUCUAUGAGCAUUAUCGUGUUUUCAGGAACUAUCUGCAUAGCAGUGUAUGGGAGAUGCUUGGCAAUGAAUUUUCUGACAAUGUGAUUAUUGAACAUUCUCAUGGUGGUUCUGGAGCCAGUUC